Podarcis lilfordi (Lilford's wall lizard) is the source of this 3425-nucleotide non-coding RNA. NCBI's taxonomy places the organism in Eukaryota, Metazoa, Chordata, Lepidosauria, Squamata, Lacertidae. The record is from the annotation of a GenBank genome assembly.
AGAUGCAGCAAUCAAGGCUCAAGGGAUGAAAGAGAAGCAAAGCUGAGGUGCUGUGUUUGUUUAACUUCCCAGCUUGGGGGGUCCUAGGAGCUCCACAGGACUGUGUAUUUUGGGACUGAACUUCAAGUUCCCUGACCAUGGAUUGGCUGCAGAGAUGGGAACCUGCCUGCCUGUUGGGCUUAGGCUUCCUGUAUUGAACCUGGAGCAUGUUUCCUGACCUGUUGGACUGCCAGACUACCCACUAGCAUUUGACCCUGGGGCUGUAUACUAUCCAGAAACUGCAUCUUCCCAAGAGAAGGUAGGCCCAAUGCCCUGGCUUGCUGUCCUUCCUCCGUCCAAGGCCUCUGCUCAGCAGCUGCUGAGUAGAAGCAUCUAUGUUGUGGGGUGUGGGUGCUGCUUUGUAAGGAAAGUGACUUGCAAAGCAGCACCAUGCAGGAUUGAAUCCUCCCUGUAGUGGGUUGAAUUAUAUAUAUUGACCAGAACACAUUUUGGUGUUAACAAAACAGUUCUAUCAGUUCCCACAAUGCUUGAGUGGCUGAUUGUGGCAGUGGAAGAGUUUAGGAGGGGUCUUCACUGCUAGUGAACUGUGCCAAGGGUAAGAUCCCCUCCCCAUGCUGAGGAUCACAUUUCCUCCUGGGGCACAUUCCAGUAGUAGGUGGGGCCAGAAGCAAAAAGUAGGCUGGGCAGCACAUGUGACCCUUACUUUGGUACAAUGUGCUGCACUUCAUCCAUGUAACUUGCACAAUCCUCUUCAUUCUCCAACCAGACAAACAAGGGGCAUUACCACAGUGGAAGGGCAAAUUUCAGUCAGGCAAAAGCACUGAGGAAAGCAUGGAGCUGGGACAGAAAGGGGUGUGGACUAGGGAGGAGCCACGGUCUGAGGAGAAUCGAGAGGGUCAGAGAGAGGACUGGGAGGCUGCAUUUGACCCUCAGCCUGAAGGUCUCCACUCCUGGCCUAGUGAGACAUUUCAGUUGGCACCUCCAACAUUUGCAAAUAUUGAUGCUAUCCAAGUCUGAUAGGUUGCAAUAUGUAUUUACCCAGCUCACAGCUUGCAAGGGAUUUCAAGAUAAGCUGCUCUAUCCUUGAAAAUGCCCUUCUACCCACAAUUUUGGCCAUUUCCAGACAGUCCGUUUAAUGAGCAUUUAGCCUGAUUUGUUUGUGGGGAGAUGCUGCAUUAAAAUUAUCCUACAUGUGUCAAUGCAUUUUUCUAUCACAAAAAGGCACAUCUUUUGGGAGGAGUGGAUUUGUUUCACAAGAGCUCCAAAUUGCCUUGAACUAUGCAGUCUGAAUUGGUCAGGGUGGGAUUUAAUCCCAUCCCCAAAUAGUUUCAGUCUGGAAGCUCUCUUAUAUCGACACCCUUAGGAUUUUAUGUGCCAAUUUUGUGUCUGCAUGGUCUGUUGUUGGGAUGGUACUGAUUGGUGCAGUCUGUUUAUUGCUGAAAUGGACUUCAGCUUGACUGGCUUCUUGCAUACAGGCCCAAACUGGGUUAGGCAUAAUGUAACUCAAUCAAAUCUAGCUGCUGGAAAGGUUGGGGAGAAGCAUUUCUCUAGAACAUGCUGGUAGCAAGGAAAAGAUAGGCAUAUGAAUGGUUUGGGGCAAGUACCCUUUGGUGAGAGAACCCUAGCAGAGAUUUAAAAUCACGAAACAUGCAGCAAAGUAUGGAAAUAUAGGCUGAUAGACCUUUAAAAUAUGCCCUCGUGAGAUCCAAGAUAGUCUCCUCUUACCUCAGCAUAGAAAAAGACCACACGUUUGAUAAGUUAAUGGUUUAGUUAAAAACUUUCCAAAUGUCAGAUUCAUACGCUUUGCCAUACAGCAUUCAGAAAAUGUUGCACAGGCAAUAAAAUGGCUUAGUUACAGUGAUGAAAGUUCCUAAAUUGUUGGUGUAGGAACACAAGAAUGGCUUCUAAGAGUCAUGCAGCUAAGCUGCAGCAACCAGCUCAGCCUCUUCACAAGCUGAGCUUCUCGGGUAGACUGAUGCACAACAAUAGGCUUGAUUAGCCUCCUCCCCAGGUGAGGGGAAGUGACCUAGCUAAGCCCGGCAGGACAGAAUACUCUAUGGCAUUAACCUUUCAUGCAUUAAUUACACUUAAGCAUGUUGGUUAUACUAUAUAGUUAUCCCACAGAACAACCAUAGAAUCAGAACUGUGGAGUUGGAAUGGACCCUGUGGUCAUCUAGUCCAACCUCCUGCAAUGAAGGAAUCUUUUGCUCAAUAUGGGGCUUAAACCCAUGACCCUGAGAUUAAGAGCCUCAUGCUCUACUGAUUGAGCUACACAAGCCAUCCAAAAUAGGUCUACCUAGUGCCAUCAUUAACAUCCUUUCACUGCCAGGUAGGGUUGCCGCCUGUCCUGUAUAAUACAGGAUUGUCCCAUAUUUCAGUGUAAAAUUCUGUGUCCUAUAUUGAUAUAGUUUUGUCCUGUAUUUCAGGUCUGGUCUUCUCUCUCUCUCUCUCUCUCUCUCUCUCUCUCUCUCUCUCUCUCAAGUUAGAGAUCCUCUCCAAAUGCAUGUAUUUGAAAGGGUGUGGGAAAGGUCAUGUAUUGGCUCACAGUAGCCAAGAACAGACAAAUCUACAAAUUCAUGUGUAUGCGUGUGUAUGUGUGCCAAAUUCCAGAACGGCCAUCUUGUUAAGCUGCAAUAGAUUGUAAAGGAUUGCUUUGAAGUCACUUUAGCACCAGACAGAAAAAAAUCGCCACCCUGCAUUUUGCCAGAACAAAGGUUGCAACCCUAUUGCCAGGUACAAAACUUCUCUUUCCUCCUAGGAUUUUGAUAAAAUUAUGAUGCAUUUGCUGCCUAUUGCAUUGUAUGGGUUUUCUUUUUGUGUAUUUUAUUAUGAUUUUACAUUAUGCUCCUUUUUUGGGCAUAUUUCUUGGAGAUUCUUUAAAUGGAAGGUGACUAAUAAUUAACUUUCUAAAUCAUUAUUUAGUUUAAGCAAACAAUGCAAUUGUAAAACCUGGCAUACUGUAUUGAGCAACACCUAUCAUGGAAGAUCACAAAGCACAGUGAGCUGGUGAAGGUUCAUGAAUGAAGCCUUUGCAACAUACGCAGAAGAAAGGGGGUGCCACAUAGUUGCCUAAGCAAAAUGCUGCCUUUCCUGGCUUUGGGCUACAAUUCCCAAGCAGUAAAGCAAGAAGGCAUGUGUGCAAACACAAAUCAGUUCAAAACCAGUCCCAAGUGUUUGCCAGUGGCACGUGGAAUUGGUGAUUCAGUAACAAUUCAAGCGGGGAGGGCAGGGAUUGUCCAUUACUAGCUAUAAUGAACCUUGAAACCAUUGGAUAGUUUGGCAGCUCUGACUAAGAAAUGGAUGACAUCCCUCCUGCAUCAGGCCUUGAGCUUCCAAGAUAAUAGUGUGAUGUUGGAUACUUCCCAGUAGAGUUUGGGAGCAGACUGAUGCAGCAGCAACUUUUACUAGAGACUCCCUGGUUUUUG